CUGUGCUUUCUUUUCUCUUUCUCAUCUCUACGCAAUCCAGCUCUCUUCCUGUCUCUGUGCUUGGGGACUGAAUCUUGGAUCAGGAAUUCUCAAGGAUCCCAGCACCAGCUUUAAAGAAGCCACGAUCAGAGACGGUGCACGGCUCCCUGCGUUUGCUCUCCUCCAGCGUGUACCGGCUGCAGGGAGGGUGCUGGAAGGCGGCCCCCGUGGACAGCAGCCCCGGCCCUGACAUGCUGUGUUUUCAUCAGCUGUUUCUCUUCACAGACUGUUUGGACAUGCCACAGCAGAGCAGUCCCCCAGCCCCUCCUCUUUGCACACAACUGAACUGUCUGUUCAAUAAGAGAUGAUGAAUCACAUGGAAGGUAUAUUGUGCUCUCCUUCCUGAUCACAGACGUUCCACCCAGAUAAUUAAUCCAUGCUACAGCUUGUGGUGCUCUGACAUCAAAGGUUUGGUGAGUGGGGUGGCACUAUGGGAUGCCCUGCAAGAGAAUUCCAACACCCAGAGACAGGGAAUGGAGGCAGAUUCUCUUCAGGUGACUUGCUGACAGAUGUGUGCUUAAUUGUAAGUACUUGAAGGAGAUACAGACUGUUCCUAAUGGGGAAGACAAUUAAUUAUGAAAACAUAUUUGUUAUAUGAUAAACAAUAUAACAUUUCAAGUAUGUUUAAAUUAUGUGAGGAACCCAUAGGGCAUCACCGCUUGUCUAGCACAUGGGUUUUCAAAUAUUAUACUCAUUGAGCCUAUCCUAGGCAGUCAAGACAGGUGAAUCAUUUAUGUUAGUUGUGAUUGAAAAUGUUACCGCAAACAUCUUAAGCACAAUGUCUAAGCAAGUUUGAAAUGGACCACACAGACACAAGAAAUAAAAAUACUACCAUGAUUGACGGGCAGGCCAAAUUUAACCUGAACUUGACAGGCACAGCUCAAGUAGUUCAUCAACAAUUUGAUAAGGGUUUAAUAGUUUGAAAAGUUCCAUUAUUACAUUGUGGUAUAUUCUCCUCACAUCCUCUGGAGGGCGCUGUCUUCUCCAACAGCCUGGGUUCUACACAGCAAGUAGUGACCUAGGACAGGGUCAAGUUCAUCUGGACCUGGGGCGUGGUCACUGAAACAUGGCUUUUUCCAGGUCUGAACACCAUGCUUACCUGAAGCAGGCCCACACUGCUCCAGCCCCCCAGCUCCUUGCCAACUGACUUUAACCCAUGGGCAAGAAGAUCCUCACAUGUACUUCCAUCACACAAGAUACCACCAAAGUAAAUGAAGAGCCAUGCAGGGAAAUAUAGAAUUGGGAAAUAUACAGGCGGACAAAGCCAUGAGAUGUACCUGAGCCUGCUAAGUGAGCUCACACACAGCUGUGCCAUUUCUUCCCAUAAUCAUAUUUAUUGAUGAAGAAUCUUCAUUUAUCUGUGGUGAUUUUUAUUAGUGCCUCUAAAUAUGGCUAAAUUUCAGAAUUUUUGUAUUAUUAAAUAAUUUAAUUUAUUAAUUUAUUUUUGCUGUUUUGACCUAGUCACAGAGAACUAGCCAAUGUGUACCACCGGGGGGCAAUAUCUGACUAUUUUACAGAUCCACGCACUCUAAAACAUGGGUAUCCAGUUCUAUUGAAAAAGGGCUGCUGUGGGUGCAGGUUUUUGCUUCAGCCCAGCACUAAGAUACUGGAUUCUGUAUAUUAAG
Anguilla anguilla (European eel) is the source of this 1664-nucleotide long non-coding RNA. RefSeq lists it as uncharacterized. The record is from RefSeq and is a predicted model, not a curated record. The transcript is spliced from 2 exons. NCBI's taxonomy places the organism in Eukaryota, Metazoa, Chordata, Actinopteri, Anguilliformes, Anguillidae.